CAUCCAUGGUGUCAAUUAGUUAGCUGUAGGCUACAACUUGAGCCCUGAUUUUGUUCAGCCUAUAUUUGUUUACAUUUUGGCAAAUUUGUCCGACUAAAAGUACGCCGAAUUAUCUAGUAAUUUACCAUUGGAUGCACAUACAACUAUCAUUACGUUACUUUGAAACUAAAGAAAACUUAAAAAUGUGAAGAUUAUCAGACAAUUCGGGAGUUAUAAUGAGCGUCUUUUAUUUCUAUGAUUUCUAAACGGAUUUAUGGACGUCAUUUGCGAUGGACAUUGGGGUUACCGUAAAGAACAUCAUCAUCUGCUGCUCCACCAUUAUGCUUCCCACCCACAAUGCGGCUGUGUUCUCUACCCCAGAAUGUUUCACUUCAAAGAAAGCUUCUCACUGGGUCAUUGCUGUUGUGGCUUUGGGAAGUGAGCAGAAGGAAUAAGAUGGACUCAGGAAGAGGAAACACUGCUCUCUGACUUUUUAUCUGAUUGAGCACAAAGAGGACUUUCUUCUUUUGCUUUUUCGUCUUUCUCCUAUUAUCUCUCCACCUGCACACAUGCUCUGUCUUGUGGGAAAACAGACAGAUCAGUUUGUUUCUUGGUACAUUCAGAUCACUUGGAAUUUUAGAUACUGAUGAAAACCACAAAUUAUGCACACUAGGGCUGUGUAUUGGCAAGAAUUUGGCAAUACGAUACGUAUCACAAUACAUGGGUCACGA
Molecule: long non-coding RNA, 710 nt
Organism: Perca flavescens (yellow perch)
Lineage: Eukaryota; Metazoa; Chordata; Actinopteri; Perciformes; Percidae
Exons: 3
Source: RefSeq, a predicted model, not a curated record